RNAcentral lists this small RNA (628 nucleotides) under Pan troglodytes (chimpanzee). Its description in RNAcentral is "processed transcript". The record is from RNAcentral. Lineage: Eukaryota; Metazoa; Chordata; Mammalia; Primates; Hominidae.
GAUUCAAGGGCAUAGGCGUCGGAAUUGUGAUUUCGUGCUUUCAAAUAAAAAAGGCCAGGCAAACACACGUUCUGGGGCUAUCAAGAAAGUUCACACGAAGGACAAAUCCAGCAGGGGGAAAGUGACAUACCUUGCGGGCUCAGGCUUGGGAUUUCUGCAGCCACGCGCGCGUUCACCCGACGGGACCUCGCCUGCACUGCCGCCGGGAGAAGCCUGCUCUAGACUCCGGCUCCAGGGGAGAGGGCUGGGCUCCACAGAGAGGAGCAGCCUCUUCUUCCAGACCAGCUGGUCUUGCUUCUGGAGCAUCUCUUGGAGCAGAAGACUCUGAGCCCCCGAACUCUGCAAAGCCUCCAGAGGACAUACCACCUCCAGGAUCAGGAUGCAGAGGUUCGCCAUCGGUGGUGUGAACUCAUUGUUAAGCACAAGUUCACGAAAGCCUACAAAAGUGUGGAGAGGUUCCUUCAGGAGGAUCAGGCCAUGGGUGUGUACCUCUACGGGGAGCUGAUGGUGAGUGAGGACGCCAGACAGCAGCAGCUCGCCCGUAGGUGCUUCGAGCGGACCAAGGAGCAGAUGGAUAGGUCCUCAGCCCAGGUGGUGGCCGAAAUGUUAUUUUAACGAGGUGAUUCUC